Molecule: long non-coding RNA, 277 nt
Filed under: Pan troglodytes (chimpanzee)
Lineage: Eukaryota; Metazoa; Chordata; Mammalia; Primates; Hominidae
Description: lincRNA
Source: RNAcentral
CAGAUACCAGAACCAAGACUUCCUAGCUGGAAUAAGCAAUUGAUUAAACUUGCUACCUGCUGCCUUCUGCUCUUGCCACCCUCCAUACCCAAAGAAGAAAGAAAGGAAACAAAUCUUGUGGACUAUCCACAGGAUAACACAAGAAGAGAGUACCACAUCUCAAGACCACAAGAUGGCUUCCAGAGGCAAUGGGGAAUCAAGCUUCAUUACCAUAUUUUACAGGAAAGAUGUUCCAUAAUGUCAUCUCUAGACUACGCAAAUUCAACGUAAAUAAAAG